CUGGUAGCAGCAAUUCGUAUGGUUCCUGUUCGUGUAUUUGGAGUGCUACCUUAUUCCCUUGUAUGCCGUUCGGGAGUUUGGAGCAUUCACUUGUAUGCAGUUCGAGUGUUUGGACCAUUCCCUUGUAUGCAGUUCGAGUGUUUGGAGCAUUCCCUUGUAUGCCGUUCGGGAGUUUGGAGCAUUCACUUGUAUUCAGUUCAUGAGUUUUGGUGAAUCUACAGUAGCUGUGCCUGUCUCUGAAAGGGGAUUAUCGUCUAAGCGGUUUUUUCCCCUUUUGUGCAAAACGGUCCGUUACAUAAAUGUUAAUUUG
Pelobates cultripes (western spadefoot toad) is the source of this 310-nucleotide non-coding RNA. The record is from the annotation of a GenBank genome assembly. Lineage: Eukaryota; Metazoa; Chordata; Amphibia; Anura; Pelobatidae.